GACGAACGCUGGCGGCGUGCCUAAUACAUGCAAGUUGAGCGCUGAAGGUUGGUACUUGUACCAACUGGAUGAGCAGCGAACGGGUGAGUAACGCGUGGGGAAUCUGCCUUUGAGCGGGGGACAACAUUUGGAAACGAAUGCUAAUACCGCAUAAAAACUUUAAACACAAGUUUUAAGUUUGAAAGAUGCAAUUGCAUCACUCAAAGAUGAUCCCGCGUUGUAUUAGCUAGUUGGUGAGGUAAAGGCUCACCAAGGCGAUGAUACAUAGCCGACCCGAGAGGGUGAUCGGCCACAUUGGGACUGAGACACGGCCCAAACUCCUACGGGAGGCAGCAGUAGGGAAUCUUCGGCAAUGGACGAAAGUCUGACCGAGCAACGCCGCGUGAGUGAAGAAGGUUUUCGGAUCGUAAAACUCUGUUGGUAGAGAAGAACGUUGGUGAGAGUGGAAAGCUCAUCAAGUGACGGUAACUAUCCAGAAAGGGACGGCUAACUACGUG
Molecule: ribosomal RNA, 497 nt
Filed under: uncultured bacterium
Lineage: Bacteria
Description: partial 16S ribosomal RNA
Rfam family: Bacterial small subunit ribosomal RNA
Source: RNAcentral